Molecule: long non-coding RNA, 758 nt
Filed under: Homo sapiens (human)
Lineage: Eukaryota; Metazoa; Chordata; Mammalia; Primates; Hominidae
Description: non-protein coding TEX41:32
Source: RNAcentral
GGGGAAGAAAAGCUGUAUCGAUUGUUGAGAUCUGGCGACUUGUUUAAAUUUCAUCAGCCUCACUUCUAUGAACUCUCAGGCCUCACGUGUACCAGCUCUCUGCUCUCCUUUGCCUUGGGACGUUCCAUCCCUGGAAGUUUCCCUGCCCACAUCUUUGUAGAGAGUCCAUUCUCCAAGCUUCAGUGUGUCAUCUGUGAGGACCGUGACCCACCUGGUACAUCGCCUCAGGGCAUUCAUUUCAGGCUCCUUCUAAAUGGCCAAGUUUUCAAGAUUGUUUUGGCUCUAGCAAAACAAGUUGGAACAUUCACAUCAUCCAAGACAACACCAACAUUUUUGUAAUGGCCUGCAAGGCCUUCCGAGAUCUACCUCCUGCAACUCAGCUUCUCCUGUGCUCUCCUUCUGGACUCACUCUGCCUCAGCAACACUGGUCCCUGUUGCCCCACCAAUAUGCCAGGUAAACCUCAGGUUCUCCUCCUGCCUUUUGCUAAGUAUAUGUCUUGAUGACAAGCCUUCUGCUGAUGAGCUGUGUUUCUGGACCGAUCAUGGUAGAAGUCAAUUAACGUGUCCCUCACUUGGGGUUUCUCAAGGCUGCACUGAUGAGGAAACUGAAACAGAAAAUCCAGAGUAAAUUCCACCAGGCCACACAGCAAGGUCUGAUAGAGCCAGGAGAGACUUUAUGAAAUCCAGACUCUCACACUAAUGCUCUAUCAGCUAGACCUCCAUGUGAGUCUCCCCAAUGUAGGUAGGAAGUGCUUUCC